UGGGGAAAACGGUGCAAAACCGAUGCUGCCCCGCAACUGUAACCGUUGACGAAAUCUGCUUAUACCGCUGGAAGAAAUUCCGGGAACGUGCGGAGAUUAGGUAAAGACGGAAGCCAGAAUACCC
Molecule: non-coding RNA, 124 nt
Organism: Desulfomonile tiedjei DSM 6799
Lineage: Bacteria; Pseudomonadati; Thermodesulfobacteriota; Desulfomonilia; Desulfomonilales; Desulfomonilaceae
Source: Rfam